Molecule: ribosomal RNA, 182 nt
Filed under: uncultured bacterium
Lineage: Bacteria
Description: partial 16S ribosomal RNA
Rfam family: Bacterial small subunit ribosomal RNA
Source: RNAcentral
CGUGAAGUUGGAAUCGCUAGUAAUCGCGGAUCAGCAUGCCGCGGUGAAUACGUUCCCGGGCCUUGUACACACCGCCCGUCACACCAUGAGAGUCGGGAACACCCGAAGUCCGUAGCCUAACAGCAAUGAGGGCGCGGCCGAAGGUGGGUUCGAUAAUUGGGGUGAAGUCGUAACAAGGUAAC